This 471-nucleotide ribosomal RNA is filed under the name Salmonella enterica. RNAcentral describes it as "bacterial SSU rRNA". It matches the Rfam family "Bacterial small subunit ribosomal RNA", at positions 1 to 468 of the family's 1533-position model. Lineage: Bacteria; Pseudomonadati; Pseudomonadota; Gammaproteobacteria; Enterobacterales; Enterobacteriaceae. The record is from RNAcentral. RNAcentral also lists the same sequence under 1 other name.
AAAUUGAAGAGUUUGAUCAUGGCUCAGAUUGAACGCUGGCGGCAGGCCUAACACAUGCAAGUCGAACGGUAACAGGAAGCAGCUUGCUGCUUCGCUGACGAGUGGCGGACGGGUGAGUAAUGUCUGGGAAACUGCCUGAUGGAGGGGGAUAACUACUGGAAACGGUGGCUAAUACCGCAUAACGUCGCAAGACCAAAGAGGGGGACCUUCGGGCCUCUUGCCAUCAGAUGUGCCCAGAUGGGAUUAGCUAGUUGGUGAGGUAACGGCUCACCAAGUCGACGAUCCCUAGCUGGUCUGAGAGGAUGACCAGCCACACUGGAACUGAGACACGGUCCAGACUCCUACGGGAGGCAGCAGUGGGGAAUAUUGCACAAUGGGCGCAAGCCUGAUGCAGCCAUGCCGCGUGUAUGAAGAAGGCCUUCGGGUUGUAAAGUACUUUCAGCGGGGAGGAAGGUGUUGUGGUUAAUAACC